This 253-nucleotide ribosomal RNA is filed under the name uncultured bacterium. Its description in RNAcentral is "partial 16S ribosomal RNA". It matches the Rfam family "Bacterial small subunit ribosomal RNA", at positions 524 to 776 of the family's 1533-position model. The record is from RNAcentral.
UACGUAGGGAGCAAGCGUUGUCCGGAAUCAUUGGGCGUAAAGCGCGCGUAGGUGGCUUCGUAAGUCCGUUGUGAAAGUCAAAGGCUCAACCUUUGAAAGCCGAUGGAUACUGCGGAGCUAGAGUACGGAAGAGGCGAGUGGAAUUCCUGGUGUAGCGGUGGAAUGUGCAGAUAUCAGGAGGAACACCAAUAGCGAAGGCAGCUCGCUGGGACGUUACUGACACUGAGGCGCGAAAGCGUGGGGAGCAAACAGG